UACGUAGGUGGCAAGCGUUGUCCGGAAUUAUUGGGCGUAAAGCGCGCGCAGGCGGUUUCUUAAGUCAGAUGUGAAAGCCCCCGGCUCAACCGGGGAGGGUCAUUGGAAACUGGGAAACUUGAGUGCAGAAGAGGAAAGUGGAAUUCCAAGUGUAGCGGUGAAAUGCGUAGAGAUUUGGAGGAACACCAGUGGCGAAGGCGACUUUCUGGUCUGUAACUGACGCUGAGGCGCGAAAGCGUGGGGAGCAAACAGG
This 253-nucleotide ribosomal RNA is filed under the name uncultured bacterium. RNAcentral's name for it is "partial 16S ribosomal RNA". It matches the Rfam family "Bacterial small subunit ribosomal RNA", at positions 524 to 776 of the family's 1533-position model. The record is from RNAcentral.